AUUCAAUUUAAUAUUACUCAAUCUCUCUAGUCGGAUCAAACGGUAAUGAAAUAACAUCAAAGUUGAAAAAAUGAGAACAUCGUGCACACAAAAGGUGACUUUUAACUAUAGAUAUUGCAUUUAGCUAAACUGAGAUAGCUUAUGUUUAGUGUCCAAGUAACUUGCAAGGCAUCAUAGCAACGGUACAAGGCACAUAAUUUUCCUGAUUCAAAUUUUUGGUUAUAUAUAUAUAUAUCCCUUCCUGCUUGAACUUCAACAAGACCAAAUAUAACCUAACAAUCCACAUCUACAAGAUCCAAAAAUCUUUCCCCCUAAAUCACGAUGCCCACAAUCAAAACCAUCCAAUUUCAAUC
RNAcentral lists this unclassified non-coding RNA (353 nucleotides) under Hevea brasiliensis (rubber tree). Lineage: Eukaryota; Viridiplantae; Streptophyta; Magnoliopsida; Malpighiales; Euphorbiaceae. The record is from RNAcentral.